This 72-nucleotide transfer RNA is filed under the name Bos taurus (domestic cattle). It matches the Rfam family "tRNA". From Rfam's summary of the family: Transfer RNA (tRNA) molecules are approximately 80 nucleotides in length. Their secondary structure includes four short double-helical elements and three loops (D, anti-codon, and T loops). RNAcentral also lists the same sequence under 1 other name. Lineage: Eukaryota; Metazoa; Chordata; Mammalia; Artiodactyla; Bovidae. The record is from Rfam by way of RNAcentral.
UCCCUGGUGGCUCAGAUGGUAAAGCAUCUACCUAUAGUGUGGGAGACCCGGGUUCAAACCCUGGGUUGGGAA